This 166-nucleotide small RNA is filed under the name Streptomyces hygroscopicus. Its description in RNAcentral is "c-di-AMP sequence". It matches the Rfam family "c-di-AMP riboswitch aptamer (ydaO/yuaA leader)". From Rfam's summary of the family: This family represents a conserved RNA structure found upstream of the ydaO and yuaA genes in Bacillus subtilis and related genes in other bacteria. The ydaO/yuaA element is thought to act as a genetic "off" switch for the ydaO and yuaA genes in its native state. It is believed that the element may be triggered during osmotic shock leading to activation of ydaO, a predicted amino acid transporter gene, and members of the yuaA-yubG operon which code for KtrA and KtrB K+ transporters. Lineage: Bacteria; Bacillati; Actinomycetota; Actinomycetes; Kitasatosporales; Streptomycetaceae. The record is from RNAcentral.
CGUGCGCACACGCCGAAUCCCGCAAGGGAGCCGGGGAACCACCACCCUGGGGUGAAUCACGCGGAUGCCGCCGUGAACUCACGGAGUCCACGACCGGUAUACGCGCGUAGGAGACCUUCCUGCUCCGAACCCGUCAGCUAACCCGGUAGGCGAAAGGAAGGAAAGG